Molecule: non-coding RNA, 152 nt
Organism: Podarcis lilfordi (Lilford's wall lizard)
Lineage: Eukaryota; Metazoa; Chordata; Lepidosauria; Squamata; Lacertidae
Source: the annotation of a GenBank genome assembly
UUUCCAGUAGCACCUUAGAGACCAACUAAGUUUGUUAUUGGUAUGAGCUUUCGUGUGCAUGCACAUUUCUUCAGAUAUUUGAAGAAGUGUGCAUGCACACGAAAACUCAUCCCGAUAACAAACUUAGUUGGUCUCUAAGGUGCUACUGGAAG